Long non-coding RNA from Salvelinus fontinalis (brook trout), 978 nucleotides. RefSeq lists it as uncharacterized. The record is from RefSeq and is a predicted model, not a curated record. The transcript has 3 exons. NCBI's taxonomy places the organism in Eukaryota, Metazoa, Chordata, Actinopteri, Salmoniformes, Salmonidae.
GCCUGUUGCACAAAAGUAGAAUUAAGACAUCCGGGAUAAAUGACUCAGCUGAGCUCAAUGAAGCCAAAACAUGUGCGUCCAGGCUUAAUUGGUUGCACAAAGACCAAGCCAGGAUGAGCAGACACGGAUUCAUUAAGCCAGGUGAAACCAAUCCUGGAUAGGUGCGCGCUCACGGCUCACUCAAAUAGACCCCGCCACAGAUCACAGAUUAACUGAUUUACCAUGGCAACUAGAGCCGCGUACUUUUCCCCGUCGGAAACACAAAUCCUCAUGGAGGCAUACGAGGAGGUAAAAGAUAUAAUUAAGAAGAAAGGCAACACCGCCACAGUGAUAAAGCAAAGAGAAAAAGCGUGGCAAAGUAUUGCAGACCGCCUGAAUGCGUAAGUAGUGCACAAUUACACACUCACCGCUCCGCUGAAACAUCACAAUUACAAUUCAAAUAUUUAAUUCACAUCUCCAAAAAUGCAGUUGUACUGUAAUUAUGAAACGGUUAAAUUUUUAAUUGAAAUGCACUGCAGAUAUGAGUGAAAUUGUGUAAAGUAACUCCAUCACACUGUAUAAAGCUAUGAUACAUUUUUUGAUAUUUUUACUGAAAACAAGACAAAAAUACCAAGUAAUUUUUUGCAGUGUGACUCCAUUAAAUGUGUGUGUGUGUGUGUGUGUGUAGAUUAAACAUGAACGGGCCAAAACGGACAUGGCAGCAGGUCAAAAUCAAAUACAAGAACAUUCUGCAGAAUGCAGUGAAAAAGAAUACCCACAGACAAGGCACGGGUGGUGGGUCACCAAAGGCUGACCUUACCCCAGCAGAGGACAUGGCCUUGGAGCUAAAUAAAGGCAGGCCUGUCUUAGAGGGGAUCCCUGGGGGGAAAGAGACGAGCAUAGGUUCCUCCCAAGAUGCCACCCGCUUCAUUCAAGUGUCUGGCAGCACUGUGUUCCUGUUAGAGCCACCAGCACAAGCACCAGACGAUGCUGAUCCAG